RNAcentral lists this ribosomal RNA (465 nucleotides) under uncultured bacterium. Its description in RNAcentral is "partial 16S ribosomal RNA". It matches the Rfam family "Bacterial small subunit ribosomal RNA", at positions 28 to 507 of the family's 1533-position model. The record is from RNAcentral.
GACGAACGCUGGCGGCGUGCUUAACACAUGCAAGUCGAACGGAAAGGCCCCUUUGGGGGUACUCGAGUGGCGCACGGGUGAGUAACACGUGGGUAACCUGCCCUUGACUUCGGGAUAACUUCAGGAAACUGGGGCUAAUACCGGAUAGGAAUCCUUGCUGCAUGGUGGGGGUUGGAAAGCUUCGGCGGUUUUGGAUGGACUCACGGCUUAUCAGCUUGUUGGUGGGGUAGUGGCUUACCAAGGCUUUGACGGGUAGCCGGCCUGAGAGGGCGACCGGCCACAUUGGGACUGAGAUACGGCCCAGACUCCUACGGGAGGCAGCAGUGGGGAAUAUUGCACAAUGGGCGGAAGCCUGAUGCAGCAACGCCGCGUGCGGGAUGACGGCCUUCGGGUUGUAAACCGCUUUCAGCAGGGGCGAAGCUUGUGGUGACGGUACCUGCAGAAGAAGCACCGGCUAACUACGUG